UCUUUUAGAGGGAAGUGGUAUGUGCUUGUGGUUGUCGAUGACUUCUCUCGCUACUCUUGGGUGUUCUUUAUGACGGCGAAGGAUGAGGCUUUUACUCAUGCUCGAGAUUUGAUUCUUCGGUUGUAAAAUGAGUUUCCUAAAAAUGCCAUGAGAGCUAUACGCAGUGACAAUGGCUCAAAAUUCAAAAACACUCAAUUUGCAACCUUUUGUGCUUCUUUCGGACUUGAGCAUCAGUUUCCUCUCCGUAUGUGCCCCAGCAAAAUGGUAUUGUUGAACGCAAAAAUCGGACCCUUGUUGAGAUGGCCAGGACGAUGCUUGAUGAGCAUAGGACUCCAAGGCGUUUUUGGGUCGAAGCGAUCAACACUGCUUGCCAUGUGUCCAAUCACAUCUUUCUUUGGGCUCUGAACAAAACUUCUUAUGGGCUGCGAUUUGGACGGCCACCCAAGGUCAGUCAUUUCAGGGUAUUUGGCUGCAGAUGCUUUGUGCUAAGAUGUCAUGGGCAUCAUAGGGAGCGAGAGGCAACAGCCAGGCUGGGAUAAGGCUAGAGAAUAAGAUUGAGAUGAGCUAGGAUAAGGCUAGAGAAUAAGAUUGAGAUGAGAGAAUUGUGGAGAGUUGGUUAGCAGUAGAUAAGUCCAAGAAAGUAGGAGUUAGUUGAGAGUUUGUAGGAGAAGUUGGUUAGCCAUAGGGCUAUUUAUAAGCCGCAUGGCAGCAGGGAAUAAAUCAAGCAAGAUCAUUAUCAAACCAAUCUCUCUCUCUCUUGCAAUGACCCUCUCAAGCGUCUAGGGCUGCUACCCUAGAACCAAGCCUGCGGCAGAGGGGUAUAACCUCGCCGGAGAAGACAACCCCAUGGACCGAAGGUCCAUGACACCUGGUAUCAGCUCCAGGUUAUCCUCACCACCACCAGCCGCCCAUCCCUCACCACCACCAGCCGCCGCACCAUCUGCUGCCGCAACGCCCUCCCACCCACCCUCUCCAACUCUAGAUGCAUUCACUCGGCUCGAAGAGAAGUGGGACCAAUUCGUUGUGAUGUUCCACCGCUACAAGGAGAAGACAGAGAAGGAACUCCAAGCAGCGGUGCGGCUUCAGGCGGCAGCGCAAGGGUUCCUGGCACGCCGCCAGGUACAGUCCCUUCGUGGGGAGAAGCACCUUGCUGUGGCCUCCAGGGCCACCCCAUGGCCGUCAUCACAUGAGCAGGUCGUGGUGCGCCUGCAAGCCGCAGUGCGCGGCUUCCUUGUUAGGCGGGCGGUGCGGAAGCUGCACUUGUUGAUCAGCUCAUCGCUGCACCAACUCGCACCUGCGCGCCCAACCACCAGGUCUCGUCUAUACUUUUUGAACCCACUGCAGAAGUCGAGAUCUGGGUAUGCAGCCCCCCUGCACGGCCAAAGAGGGUCGUCUCCUUCAUUCGGGCAACUGCCUUGGUGCUGGACAGACCCAACAUAAGAACGGGCUGGUUCCUCCUUCACCUGUCAUCCAACGUGAAGUCCGCAGUUCAGCUCUUUCCUUGGGAUCCAGGAGGACAGGAGGACAUAGCUGGAGUUCAAAUUUAUAUUUUAGUUCCACAAUUAUUUUGUAUUUUCGUCUUAAAUAAUAAAGGUAAGCCGAGAUGUAAAAGGCUUAACCUUAAGUCGUGUCAGGUAAGUCUAUGGCAGCUCGAGGACGAGCUGGUCCUCAAGGGAGGGGGAGAUGUCAUGGGCAUCAUAGGGAGCGAGAGGCAACAGCCAGGCUGGGAUAAGGCUAGAGAAUAAGAUUGAGAUGAGCUAGGAUAAGGCUAGAGAAUAAGAUUGAGAUGAGAGAAUUGUGGAGAGUUGGUUAGCAGUAGAUAAGUCCAAGAAAGUAGGAGUUAGUUGAGAGUUUGUAGGAGAAGUUGGUUAGCCAUAGGGCUAUUUAUAAGCCGCAUGGCAGCAGAGAAUAAAUCAAGCAAGAUCAUUAUCAAACCAAUCUCUCUCUCUCUCUUGCAAUGACCCUCUCAAGCGUCUAGGGCUGCUACCCUAGAACCAAGCCUGCGGCAGAGGGGUAUAACCUCGCCGGAGAAGACAACCCCAUGGACCGAAGGUCCAUG
This 2059-nucleotide long non-coding RNA is filed under the name Zea mays. RNAcentral describes it as "long non-coding RNA (ZMAY_LNC000160)". The record is from RNAcentral. Lineage: Eukaryota; Viridiplantae; Streptophyta; Magnoliopsida; Poales; Poaceae.